CAACCUGCCCCACCACUUGGGGAUAACCUUGCGAAAGUAAGACUAAUACCCAAUGAUAUCUCUAGAAGACAUCUGAAAGAGAUUAAAGAUUUAUCGGUGAUGGAUGGGGAUGCGUCUGAUUAGCUUGUUGGCGGGGUAACGGCCCACCAAGGCGACGAUCAGUAGGGGUUCUGAGAGGAAGGUCCCCCACAUUGGAACUGAGACACGGUCCAAACUCCUACGGGAGGCAGCAGUGAGGAAUAUUGGUCAAUGGGCGAGAGCCUGAACCAGCCAAGUAGCGUGCAGGAUGACGGCCCUAUGGGUUGUAAACUGCUUUUAUAAGGGAAUAAAGUGAGUCUCGUGAGACUUUUUGCAUGUACCUUAUGAAUAAGGACCGGCUAAUUCCGUGCCAGCAGCCGCGGUAAUACGGAAGGUCCGGGCGUUAUCCGGAUUUAUUGGGUUUAAAGGGAGCGUAGGCCGGAGAUUAAGCGUGUUGUGAAAUGUAGACGCUCAACGUCUGCACUGCAGCGCGAACUGGUUUCCUUGAGUACGCACAAAGUGGGCGGAAUUCGUGGUGUAGCGGUGAAAUGCUUAGAUAUCACGAAGAACUCCGAUUG
Molecule: ribosomal RNA, 596 nt
Filed under: uncultured Bacteroidota bacterium
Lineage: Bacteria; Pseudomonadati; Bacteroidota
Description: bacterial SSU rRNA
Rfam family: Bacterial small subunit ribosomal RNA
Source: RNAcentral